GCUGGAGUAGCUCAGAUGGCUAGAGCGCCUGACUGUGGAUCAGGAGGUCGGCAGUUCGAUCCUGCCCUCCAGUACCA
This 77-nucleotide transfer RNA is filed under the name Candidatus Zixiibacteriota bacterium. RNAcentral's name for it is "tRNA-His". It matches the Rfam family "tRNA". From Rfam's summary of the family: Transfer RNA (tRNA) molecules are approximately 80 nucleotides in length. Their secondary structure includes four short double-helical elements and three loops (D, anti-codon, and T loops). Further hydrogen bonds mediate the characteristic L-shaped molecular structure. tRNAs have two regions of fundamental functional importance: the anti-codon, which is responsible for specific mRNA codon recognition, and the 3' end, to which the tRNAs corresponding amino acid is attached (by aminoacyl-tRNA synthetases). tRNAs cope with the degeneracy of the genetic code in two manners: having more than one tRNA (with a specific anti-codon) for a particular amino acid; and 'wobble' base-pairing, i.e. permitting non-standard base-pairing at the 3rd anti-codon position. The record is from RNAcentral. Lineage: Bacteria; Pseudomonadati; Candidatus Zixiibacteriota.